UUUAAUUCGAUGAUACGCGAGGAACCUUACCUAGGCUAGAAUGCGCGUGACCGGUUCAGAGAUGAGCCUUUCCUUCGGGACACAAAGCAAGGUGCUGCAUGGCCGUCGUCAGCUCGUGCCGUGAGGUGUUAGGUUAAGUCCCGCAACGAGCGCAACCCCUACAUUUAGUUGCCAUCAGGUUAAGCUGGGGACUCUAGAUGGACUGCCUGCGCAAGCAGUGAGGAAGGCGGGGACGACGUCAGGUCAUCAUGGCCCUUACGCCUAGGGCUACACACGUGCUACAAUGGACGGUACAGAGGGUCGCUACCUGGUGACAGGAUGCCAAUCUCACAAAGCCGUUCUCAGUUCGGAUCGAAGUCUGCAACUCGACUUCGUGAAGCUGGAAUCACUAGUAAUCGCGUAUCAGCAAUGACG
This 414-nucleotide ribosomal RNA is filed under the name uncultured bacterium. RNAcentral's name for it is "bacterial SSU rRNA". It matches the Rfam family "Bacterial small subunit ribosomal RNA", at positions 945 to 1359 of the family's 1533-position model. The record is from RNAcentral.